AGGUGUGAUCAUACUAGCGUUAAUGCAUCAGAUCCCAUCGAAACUCCACAGUUAAGCACACUUGGGCUAGAGUAGUAUUCGGAUGGGUGACCUCUUGGGAAGUCCUAGUGCUGCACCCU
Molecule: non-coding RNA, 119 nt
Organism: Picea glauca (white spruce)
Lineage: Eukaryota; Viridiplantae; Streptophyta; Pinopsida; Pinales; Pinaceae
Source: Rfam